CAAAUUUCUAUUUGUCCGGGGUUUUUAUGAUGGAAGGGCAGCUUGUGGGCACCGAGAUUCCUGGCUUCCAUACAUUGCAAGAUUUAAGAAGCCAGAGCAAGGUGGCUUUGCCCAAGUGAAAUUCAUGCAAUACUUUGCAAUUACAAGUAUUUCACAAUCAAUGUCAAGCCACUGACCUUGCCCCAAAGUAAUUUCCUAUUUCUCUGGCUUUCCUCCAAGAAAGGUAUGCCCCUAUUUCUAUUUUCAGUCUCUCCCAUAAAUCACACUAAUGA
Juglans regia (Persian walnut) is the source of this 272-nucleotide long non-coding RNA. RefSeq lists it as uncharacterized. NCBI's taxonomy places the organism in Eukaryota, Viridiplantae, Streptophyta, Magnoliopsida, Fagales, Juglandaceae. The transcript has 3 exons. The record is from RefSeq and is a predicted model, not a curated record.